CGGGGCUGGAUCCUUCGGGGUUACAGCCUUGCUGAAUUAUUCACCCGUGUCUUUUGCGUACUUCUUGUUUCCUUGGUGGGUUCGCCCACCAUAGGACAAACCAUAAACCUUUUGUAAUUGCAAUCAGCGUCAGUAAAAAAAAUUAAUAAUUACAACUUUUAACAACGGAUCUCUUGGUUCUGGCAUCGAUGAAGAACGCAGCGAAAUGCGAUAAGUAGUGUGAAUUGCAGAAUUCAGUGAAUCAUCGAAUCUUUGAACGCACAUUGCGCCCUUUGGUAUUCCAAAGGGCAUGCCUGUUCGAGCGUCAUUUGUACCCUCAAGCUUUGCUUGGUGUUGGGCGUCUUGUCUCCAGUUCGCUGGAGACUCGCCUUAAAGUAAUUGGCAGCCGGCCUACUGGUUUCGGAGCGCAGCACAAGUCGCGCUCUCUUCCAGCCAAGGUCAGCAUCCACAAAGCCUUUUUUCAACUUUUGACCUCGGAUCAGGUAGGGAUACCCGCUGAACUUAAGCAUAUCAAUAAGCGGAGGAAA
This 527-nucleotide ribosomal RNA is filed under the name Alternaria consortialis. RNAcentral describes it as "eukaryotic LSU rRNA". The stretch from base 154 to 307 matches the Rfam family "5.8S ribosomal RNA". Lineage: Eukaryota; Fungi; Ascomycota; Dothideomycetes; Pleosporales; Pleosporaceae. The record is from RNAcentral.